Molecule: ribosomal RNA, 254 nt
Filed under: uncultured bacterium
Lineage: Bacteria
Description: partial 16S ribosomal RNA
Rfam family: Bacterial small subunit ribosomal RNA
Source: RNAcentral
UACGUAGGGGGCAAGCGUUGUCCGGAAUCAUUGGGCGUAAAGAGCGUGUAGGCGGCUCGGUAAGUCCGCUCUGAAAGCCCGGGGCUCAACCCCGGGAGGCGGGCGGAUACUGUCGGGCUAGAGUCCGGAAGAGGCGAGUGGAAUUCCUGGUGUAGCGGUGAAAUGCGCAGAUAUCAGGAGGAACACCGGUGGCGAAGGCGGGUCUCUGGGCAGUAACUGACGCUGAGGAGCGAAAGCGUGGGGGAGCGAACAGG